RNAcentral lists this ribosomal RNA (498 nucleotides) under uncultured bacterium. RNAcentral's name for it is "partial 16S ribosomal RNA". It matches the Rfam family "Bacterial small subunit ribosomal RNA", at positions 30 to 523 of the family's 1533-position model. The record is from RNAcentral.
AUUGAACGCUGGCGGCAUGCCUUACACAUGCAAGUCGAACGGUAACAGGUCUUCGGAUGCUGACGAGUGGCGAACGGGUGAGUAAUACAUCGGAACGUGCCUAGUAGUGGGGGAUAACUACUCGAAAGAGUGGCUAAUACCGCAUGAGAUCUACGGAUGAAAGCAGGGGAUUGCAAGACCUUGUGCUACUAGAGCGGCCGAUGGCAGAUUAGGUAGUUGGUGGGAUAAAAGCUUACCAAGCCGACGAUCUGUAGCUGGUCUGAGAGGACGAUCAGCCACACUGGGACUGAGACACGGCCCAGACUCCUACGGGAGGCAGCAGUGGGGAAUUUUGGACAAUGGGCGAAAGCCUGAUGCAGCAAUGCUGCGUGCAGGAUGAAGGCCUUCGGGUUGUAAACUGCUUUUGUACGGAACGAAAAGCCCCGGGUUAAUACCCUGGGGUCAUGACGGUACCGUAAGAAUAAGCACCGGCUAACUACGUGCCAGCAGCCGCCGUAA